This is a long non-coding RNA of Acanthochromis polyacanthus (spiny chromis), 560 nucleotides long. RefSeq lists it as uncharacterized. The transcript has 4 exons. NCBI's taxonomy places the organism in Eukaryota, Metazoa, Chordata, Actinopteri, Pomacentridae. The record is from RefSeq and is a predicted model, not a curated record.
CCAGCCUCCGUGAUGAGAGGCACUGCCAGGCAGCAGUCAAAGUCCCUCGUCCUCACGUGGUUCACCUGGACGAAGACGCAGAGACACAGAGAAUGGCUGCUCUGGAUCCUGUCAUAGGGUUUGAGCCCGGCUCGGUCAGCUGGCCCAUCUGGUCUGAUCAUGUUGACGUAAACACCUUUCUCCAAGAAGCCGUCUGACACGCUGAAGCCAAAGUCGUCACUCUCUGGGUCCUUUAUCACUGUUACCUGGAGAAGGUCAACACAAGGACGUGAGAAACAACUGGAUGACUUGGCGGAAAGACGAACCCGGACAACUAGUACCCGACACUGACAAGAUCCAGAGGUGGUUGCCAAGCAGUAAACACUUCUGAGUAAGGGUGAAGUUGGUCUUACUGUUUAAGAGCAGUCACUUUCUGAUGACCUUCAUUGCUUCAGAUGUAGGUCGACACAUCAAAAGUAAGGUUUCAUCUGGGGACAGUUUCAGUUUAGUGGCCUUGUUGACAAAAUUGGUAAAAAUUUUGGAUUCGUUGAGACUUCCAACAAUGAUUGUGGUAAUAUGUU